This 205-nucleotide long non-coding RNA is filed under the name Gossypium raimondii (Peruvian cotton). RNAcentral describes it as "long non-coding RNA (GRAI_LNC008310)". Lineage: Eukaryota; Viridiplantae; Streptophyta; Magnoliopsida; Malvales; Malvaceae. The record is from RNAcentral.
CGCCAAUUAAUUCCCUUUGUACUCUACAUUUUAAAGACAAACAUAACACGCAUAUCGUUACAUUCUCUAAUGUAGCAGGCCACAUAAUAGCGUAUAAAUACACAAACACAUCAUACAUUCAGAGAACAUACUUGCAAGCAUUCAUAUAUUUACACAGCUUUAUGCAAGCAUAACUUUCUCAUUUACCGUAAUCAUAUACAACCAU